RNAcentral lists this small RNA (1415 nucleotides) under Rattus norvegicus (Norway rat). RNAcentral's name for it is "uncharacterized LOC102551458". The record is from RNAcentral. Lineage: Eukaryota; Metazoa; Chordata; Mammalia; Rodentia; Muridae.
UUAACUUCCUUGUUGCUAUGGAGACUCACUGGCUCAGAUCCGGCCCCAUCUCAACUCUCUACUCCAAGCCCAGUUUCAGUUGAUUUAGCCUUUGCCCCAGUCCCAGACUAAGUCUCAUGUGAGUGCCAGUGCGGGGCCUGUACCCAGCCACGUCUCUCAGACAGGAGUAAUGAAGAACCAGGCUCAAGUCUACUCUUAGGCUCAAAGGUCAACAGAUUCUUCAAUAGUAGGUUAGGAGAUACUCUGCUCAUUGCAAAUGUUGAGCAUCAUUUCCUGCCUUGAACCCCUGAAUGUCAGCAACACCUCUCAUCCAAGGGACUUUUCUCAACAGUGGGUGCAUUAAACAGUCCUGAAUCUAGGGGAACUAAAUGUCAGAGUCUAGAGGAGUUGAGAGGUGCAGAGGACAGUGGUGUGACAGAGGUGAGCUCCAGACUACAGGACACUCCCCUUAGAAGGCUGAAGACUUGACCCCAAGCUCCAAGGAAAUCACCAUGAGUGACCUUUGCUUACUUCGAGGCCUUAUCCUGGUACCUGAUGUAGUUCAGUAGCCUCUGAAUUGAGUUUGCCUUUGUUUGAAGUCAUAUUUUCACAUUUCAUCCGAUGCUAUUUAUCUUCCACCAAAAAGUCACACCUAAACUUUCCAGAUGCCCAGUCGCAGACUUCCCAGGGUGAUCACACUCGUGUGCACAGUCUAUCAUUGUGCAAGCUCACACUCGAGAAUGGAUGUCAAAAGACGCUUUCAUGAACCUAAAAAACAAUGAAGUUAAGUUGAACUUGUUGCUUAAUUGAGCCAUAUUCCAGAACCAUUUUUUGUAAGUUAUCAUGCAAACAUUAUUGAUGGAAAUAAACAAUAUAAUAAUGUGUGAAUCCACUUUUUAGAUGUCUAAAUUGUUUGCAAUGUCAUUUACAAAGGAGAAAGGUUCCUACGAAUCUUGACCAAACUAGGAAACCCUGCCGCACCCUGCACUCUGAAGGCAAGUUACGUGCUUUUGCUGCCCUCUUGUGGUCUUUAUUUCUCACUGCAAUGUCCCCGACAGCAAAAGUAUUUCAAGUCCUCAGCAGGCUAUUUGAUAAUGGGAAUUUAGAAUAACAGUCUAAAUAAUUUAGAAUAAUUAAGAAAAUAUCCUAACAUAUUUUUCAACAAUAAGCUUAUGAUUUGUGUUACGGAGCCCCAUGUAGUUAAUUUAAAUAUUUCCUCAUGUGCGUUGCCAAGAAGAUUGCCCAGAGAAACGUGGAGACAUUUUUACACCAGAAAAUAGACCAAAUUUGCAAGAAUUGUAAUUCGGCUAGUAACUGGGCAUGAGGAGGCUUUGCUGGUGAAUUAACAUCAUCUUCUAAAUUAAGUACUUCAUAAAAGAAAUUCUGGAGUAAGCGUUCAUCCUUUGUAAUGAAGUUCCUCUUGUGCCUCUUCUGCC